AGCUCCAAUAGCGUAUAUUAAAGUUGUUGCAGUUAAAAAGCUCGUAGUUGAACCUUGGGCCUGGCUGGCCGGUCCGCCUCACCGCGUGUACUGGUCCGGCCGGGCCUUUCCUUCUGGGGAACCUCAUGCCCUUCACUGGGCGUGUUGGGGAACCAGGACUUUUACUUUGAAAAAAUUAGAGUGUUCAAAGCAGGCCUUUGCUCGAAUACAUUAGCAUGGAAUAAUAGAAUAGGACGUGUGGUUCUAUUUUGUUGGUUUCUAGGACCGCCGUAAUGAUUAAUAGGGAUAGUCGGGGGCAUCAGUAUUCAAUCGUCAGAGGUGAAAUUCUUGGAUUGAUUGAAGACUAACUACUGCGAAAGCAUUUGCCAAGGAUGUUUUCA
RNAcentral lists this ribosomal RNA (380 nucleotides) under uncultured eukaryote. RNAcentral's name for it is "SSU rRNA". It matches the Rfam family "Eukaryotic small subunit ribosomal RNA", at positions 587 to 972 of the family's 1831-position model. The record is from RNAcentral.